This 516-nucleotide ribosomal RNA is filed under the name Pachycheles riisei. RNAcentral describes it as "partial 16S ribosomal RNA". It matches the Rfam family "Bacterial large subunit ribosomal RNA", at positions 1831 to 2597 of the family's 2925-position model. The record is from RNAcentral. Lineage: Eukaryota; Metazoa; Arthropoda; Malacostraca; Decapoda; Porcellanidae.
GUCUAUAUGAAGUUAAAUAAAGUCUAUUCUGCCCAUUGAAUAAAAUAUUUAAAAGGCCGCAGUAUCUUAACUGUGCAAAGGUAGCAUAAUCAUUAGUUUUUUAAUUGAAGGCUUGUAUGAACGAUUGGACAAGAGCUAAACUGUCUCUUUCUUAAAAAUUGAAUUUUAUUGUUAAGUGAAAAAGCUUAAAUGAAUAAGAAGGACGAUAAGACCCUAUAAAUCUUCAUAAAAUUUAGUCUCUAAAAAAAGAUAUUCAUUUAAAAUUUUUUAUAGAUCUAGAAUUAUUGUGCUGGGGCGGUGUUAAUAUAAAAAUAACUGUUAAUAUAAAAAACAAAUGUAUUUGAUAGUAAAAGAUCCUUUACUAAGGAUUAAAAGAAAAAGUUACUUUAGGGAUAACAGCAUAAUUUCUUUUGAGAGUUCAAAAUCGAAAAAGAAGUUUGUGACCUCGAUGUUGAAUUAAGAAUUCCUUAUGGUGCAGCAGUUAUAAAGGAGAGUCUGUUCGACUUUUAAAUUCUU